GGUAGAGUUGUGGGAUGGUGGGGAAAAAGAUGAGUUGUGUAGAGGUCGGGGAGGACCCAAUACAAGGUGACAUGUUACUUGUGGAACUUUGUUUUUCUACUUUAAUUUCGUUAGAGAAGUCAUUUUCCUCGUUUAUUAUCUUCCAAAGGGAAAAUUGAAAAAUGUUUUCUUUCAGACCGAUCACACCCUUGGUAUCAAGGAAUUAGAAAAAAAAU
Molecule: unclassified non-coding RNA, 215 nt
Filed under: Hevea brasiliensis (rubber tree)
Lineage: Eukaryota; Viridiplantae; Streptophyta; Magnoliopsida; Malpighiales; Euphorbiaceae
Source: RNAcentral